This 4675-nucleotide long non-coding RNA is filed under the name Malus domestica (apple). RNAcentral's name for it is "long non-coding RNA (MDOM_LNC006022)". The record is from RNAcentral. Lineage: Eukaryota; Viridiplantae; Streptophyta; Magnoliopsida; Rosales; Rosaceae.
UGGUUUUAGAAGGGAGUUAGGAUGGUAUGGUGGUGCGGCAAGGGGUAUGGGUGUGUAUGGAGGUGUAGAAUGGUGUAUGGAAGUGUAGAAUGGUGGCUGGAGUUGUAGAAUGGCUGCGGCACAGAGUGGGAAGUGGCUGGACGAAUUUCUGAAUUAUGGAGAGGGUGAUGUCCCUUGCGGCUAGGGUGUAGAAACAUAUAUAUAGGCACUUAAAAACCCUAGCAAAUCAGAUUAGGGCCUUUAAAACACAAAUCCAUCAGAAAAAUAGGUUAAGCAAUCAGAAUUUUAAUGAGCAAAGGCCUAGGGUUCGGCAAUUAAGUGGGCUAGGGCUAGGGUUUGUAAAAUAGGCCUUCUAGAAUGGAAAGGUGCGGCAUAGGCUUAGGGUCCACAAGGAGUUCGGGUUUAGGUCGUCUAAAAGCCCAAAGCCAAGAAUAGAAACUCUCGAAAUUGGAAACCUCCAAGAAUAGAAACUUCCAACUUUAGAAACUUUGGUUGCCAAUUCCGAUUUAGGAAAGAUCAACCCAAAAUGGAAACUUUAGGCUUAGCUUUCCUACAUCAAGUAGGAAACCUCAAAUCUUCAACUCUUCAAUUCCAUCCCAACCUUGUGUUCCAAGCAUGUCAUUUUCAAUCCAAGCUCACUUUUUGCUCCAAAGCUCCAACUUGCAUCAUUUCAUGUAAUACGUCCUUUAACCUGAAAACACAUGAAAGUAGCUUAAAAGACUACUUUAACGAAGAAAGCAUAACAAAAAUGCAUAAGAACUAGCUAACUAAGGCGCAUAAUUAUGCUCCUAUCAGAAGGGUUGCUAAUCUACUUAAAACUGACUCAAAAACACAAAACUAGGCUUGAAAACACUUAACUAGACUCAAAGAACUCAAAACAAACUACAGAGACUCAAAACACCACAAAUCAAUCAAAUAGACUCAAACUAGACACUAAAGGGUGAUUUGGACGAAAAUUGAUUUUUACUUGACUCAAAACAUUUAAAAACACAAGUUUGGACAGAUUCUGACUAGUUUGACACAACAAAGUAAAGGGGAUUGGGUUUUUGACGAAUUUAAAGUAAAACCAAGUAGAUUAAAGACUUAAACAAGUUUAGCACGAAAUUGGGGAAAAUUAUGGGUGAUUGGCUAGCUAGAGGGUUCUUCUCCACACAUGACACACUUGCAUACAAAUCGAUUUCUAGUUACUUUUCCAAUAAACCAUAAACCUCAAUGCCCCAGAUUAACCGUGAACAACACUAAUUAACCCUCAAAUUUUCCUUAAGUCAUUGAAUUGGAUGGAUAACGCAUUGGCAACCAAAUUAUUCUUCAAUAGUUCCCUACAUGAACAGCAUAAUAGAGAUACAAUCAAAGAUCAUUAAGCUUUGUGAAAAUCAUAAGCAUUGACAAGACAUUCAUAACUAUGAACAACAUGAUACUCCUGUUAGGAAUUCACUUAACACGAUUGUGACUAGCAACCUCGACUACUUACGAAUAUAAGUUCAUAACGAUAGGUGAAACUCCCUUAUAUUCUAGCAUCAAAUUCAUGCAUGCAAACUAAGUAUGCAUCCUUAAUCAACAAACAAGAAUAAGUUCUGAAUCAAACAAUUAAGUAAAUUGCAUUCACGAUUUAUAAAAUCACAACUGGAAGUAAUCAAUUGAUAUUGCAAAUAUAUUCAUGGCUUUGAAUUUCCCCUAGCUAAAACAAGUUUAGCUCCUCAUGUUCGCAAAACAAAGAUAAUUAAACUUAAACAUUGAAAACAAAAAGAUGGAUUACACCUCAGAAUGUUCCAACAAUCCAAUUUGAUUGGCAAACACGUCCAAGGGUCCUCCUCCUUCUUCUUUGCUGUGGCACAAGGUGUGGGUGUAGGUUUGAGUGAUGAAUUGUAUGAAAGGAUGGCUGAAAGUAUGAAUGGUAGUGAAUGGAUGGUCUAAAAGUUGCAGCAAGGCUCUUUAUUUAUAUGAGAAGGAAGGGGCACGACUAGGAAUUAAAUUGGGAAGAGUUUAAGACUCCAAAUCCUCCAAGAAAAGGGUAACAAAUCAGAAUCCCAAGAGGAAAAGAGUAAGUGAUAUGCGGCAAGCCUAGAAAGAAAGGGGAAUGAGACUUCCUUGCAUGGCAAGGAAGGAUUCCUUGCAGAUUUGGUGUGGCAAGGGUUAAAAGGAAUGGGAAAUUGGUUUGCUUAUGCGGCAAGGGGAAGGAAAUGGGAAAUAGGCAAGGACAAUGCGGCAAGGGAUUUUAGGAAUGUAAUUAGGUCUGAAUUUAAGUCUCCUAAUUUAAUUAAAGAUCCUCCGUGCAGAUGGAAAUUAAGUGGUGAAGGAUUAGGAAAGUUUAGGACAAAAUAAGGUAACUUUGGCUAACAUUCCUUCUUUCUUGCUUGCAUCCUUUACUUCCUUUUCUUGAAUUAAUUUCUUCAUAACUUCAGCAUAAUCCUAGCCUCUUUUGGUCUUCAAAUUCGUCCAUCCACCUUGCUCUGUGCAUGUGCUAACCAUUCCAAGCCCAAAACUGCUCCAAAAUGCACUUUCUUGCUACUUUAGCCCUUUGGACGUACAAACACAUGAAAAUAGCUUAAAAUACUAAAAUAACUAUGAACUAACAAUAUAAAUGUAAGAAAACAAGCUCACGAAGUCGCAUAAAUAUGCUCCUAUCACAUCACUCCAUUCUCUCUCUUGGCCCAUUUUGUGUGUGUGUUUGUGUUAAUUCUCAUUUUGCUUUUAGUUGUCAUACAACUUAAACUUAAUGGGCCCUGUGGACCAAAACUGAUAGGAGCAUAUUUAUGCGACUUAAUUGGCUUGUUCUCGUGCAUUUACGUUGUGUUUCCUUAGUUAUUUUAGUGUUUAAAGUCACUUUUGUGUGUUUUCAGAUUCUAAGGGCAAAGGAUGCAAUUUGGUGCCUUUUGGAGAAAAUUGGGCUUGGAAUGAUUAUCACAAGCUUGGAGCAAAAGGAAUGGACGUAAUUGAAGAUUUGAAGAAGUUUGGAUUCCUAAUCAACGAAGGAUUCCUAAUUGAAGAUGGAUUCCUACUCCAACAAGGAUUCCUACUUGAAAUAGGAAAGUUAAGCCAAGGUUUCCUACUUUGGUUUGACCUUUCCUAAGUGUCCCUAAGUUUUAUCAACUUUGAAGGCCUCCUAAGUAUUCUAGGACAUCAAGCACACAUUUCUUGAAUGGUCUAAGUCAAUGCCGCACCUCACAUGCCCUUUCCACAAUCCCUCUUCCUUGCCGUGCAAGGGAACCCUUUCCCUUCAAUUUUAGGACAUUUAAACCUUUCCCUAAACCUUUCCUACAUCACAGCCGCACCCCCUUAACCUUUCCUCUUCCUUGCCGUGCAAGGGAGAGGGUUCUUUCCUAUUUCCUUGCAUUAAAACACAUUCCUUUUGUGUUUUAUGCCCUUGCCGCAUAUCCCUUGCACUUUCCUUUAGUUUUCUGAUUUGAUUUCCUAUUUCUAGAAGCUUUUGACCUAAUUUCUGUUUACCAAAAUAACCUAGGGUUUUAAUUCCUGAAAUCCUUUCAAUAAACUUCCUUUGUGCAGCCACAAAGAAUCCAUUCAUUCACCAUUCACGCUAGAAAGCUAUCCCUACUCUCUACCACAUCCAUACUUCACCAUUCAUCAUAUUUUCUGCCCAGAAACAACCCUUGCCAUCCCUUACAUUCAUCCUAACCUUAAUUCCAUCCUUCUACAUCAUCCAUAACUCCUUAAACUCACCCCCAACCCUUGUGCCGCAGCAAAGGAGAGGAAGAAGAAGUGCUUGAAGGUUCUAGUUGUUCAACAUUGAAUCGUUGGAGUAUUUAGGUGUUCUCUUUCUUAUAUUUACAAUGUAUAAAUCUUUUUUCCUUUGUUUUGUGAACAUGAGGAACUAAGCCUUUUUGGCUAAGGGCUAUUCAAUACCAUGAUUAUGCUUGCAAGAUGAAUUGAUUACUUCUAAUUGUUAUUUCAUGAAUUGUGAAUGCAAUUUGCUUAACCGUUUGAUUGAUGACUUAUUUUUGUGUGUUCAUUAAGGUGGCCAACUUAGUUUUCAUGCAGGAAUUUGAAGCUAAAAUAUAAGGAAGUUUCACCUAAUAGUUACAACCUUAUAUUUACAAGUAGUGGAUGUCGCUUAUAAACGAUCGUGUUAAGUGAAUUCUUGGCAAACGUUUCAUGCUUUUCAUAGUAACAAUUGCCUCGUCAAUGCUUAUAGUUUUCAUGAAGUUUAAUGAUCUUUGAUUGUACCUUUAUUGUGCUUUUCACGUAAGGGACUUUUAGAGAAUGUUUUGAGUUGUUGUAUGUGCAUUCCCAUCCAAUUCAAUAACUUAAGGAAGACUUGAAGGUUAAAAAAGUGCUAUCACAGUUAACCUAGGGCAUUGAGGUUCAUGGUUUGUUGAAAGAAGCAAUUGGAAAUCAACUUUGUAUGCAAGUGUGCCAUGUGUGGAGAAGAACCCUCUAGUUAGUCUAUCACCCAUCAAUUCACCUAGUUUUGUCUAAGAAUCUGUUUACAUUGUUCUUGUCGUAAUUUACUUAUUUUCGUCCAAAAUCAACCCCUGAUGUGAAAAUUAAUUUGACACACAAAUUAAACCCUAUGGAUGACAAUUGUAGUAUAUGAGAAAAUAGGGAUCGUUCUAACCGGGGAUUAACUAGGGAUGCUAAUCAGUGUAAAACUGACUCAAGAACAUAAAAAUAUAAUGUAGAACACUAAACUAGACUCAAUUAAUGCAAAACUAGGGUU